GCGCCGGUAGUCUAGCCUGGCAGGACACUGGCUCCCCGGGCCAGGGACCCGGGUUCAAAUCCCGGCCGGCGCA
This is a transfer RNA of 73 nucleotides. It matches the Rfam family "tRNA". From Rfam's summary of the family: Transfer RNA (tRNA) molecules are approximately 80 nucleotides in length. Their secondary structure includes four short double-helical elements and three loops (D, anti-codon, and T loops).